GCCCCAAUAGCUCAGCUGGCAAGAGCGUUGCCGUGGUAAGGCAGAGGUCACGCGUUCGAAUCGCGUUUGGGGCU
Molecule: transfer RNA, 74 nt
Filed under: Candidatus Aenigmarchaeota archaeon ex4484_52
Lineage: Archaea; Nanobdellati; Candidatus Aenigmatarchaeota
Also listed under: 1 other name
Description: tRNA-Thr
Rfam family: tRNA
About the family: Transfer RNA (tRNA) molecules are approximately 80 nucleotides in length. Their secondary structure includes four short double-helical elements and three loops (D, anti-codon, and T loops). Further hydrogen bonds mediate the characteristic L-shaped molecular structure. tRNAs have two regions of fundamental functional importance: the anti-codon, which is responsible for specific mRNA codon recognition, and the 3' end, to which the tRNAs corresponding amino acid is attached (by aminoacyl-tRNA synthetases). tRNAs cope with the degeneracy of the genetic code in two manners: having more than one tRNA (with a specific anti-codon) for a particular amino acid; and 'wobble' base-pairing, i.e. permitting non-standard base-pairing at the 3rd anti-codon position.
Source: RNAcentral